UGCAGUCGUACGAGAGCGGAUAUUAGCUUGCUAAUAUUGUCAGCUAAGUGGCGCACGGGUGAGUAAUAUAUAGUUAAUCUGCCCCAAAGAAGAGAAUAAUUGUUGGAAACGACUUGUAACGCUCUAUAUGCCUUUAUUACAUAAGUAAGCAAGGGAAACAUUUAUGGCUUUGGGAUGAGACUGUACGGUAUCAGCUAGUUGGUGAGGUAAUGGCUCACCAAGGCAAUGACAUCUAACUGGUUUGAGAGGAUGGUCAGUCACACUGGAACUGAGACACGGUCCAGACUCCUACGGGAGGCAGCAGUGGGGAAUAUUGCACAAUGGAGGAAACUCUGAUGCAGCAACGCCGCGUGGAGGAUGACACAUUUCGGUGCGUAAACUCCUUUUAUAUGAGAAGAUAAUGACGGUAUCAUAUGAAUAAGCACCGGCUAACUCCGUGCCAGCAGCCGCGGUGAUACGGGGGGUGCAAGCGUUACUCGGAAUCACUGGGCGUAAAGAGCAUGUACGCUGGUUUGUAAGUUGGAAGUGAAAUCCUAUGGCUUAACCAUAGAACUGCUUCCAAAACUGCAGACCUAGAAUAUGGGAGAGGUAGAUGGAAUUUCUGGUGUAGGGGUAAAAUCCGUAGAGAUCAGAAGAAUACCGAUUGCGAGGCGAUCUACUGGAACAUUAUUGACGCUGAGAUGCGAAAGCGUG
RNAcentral lists this ribosomal RNA (693 nucleotides) under uncultured Arcobacter sp. RNAcentral describes it as "bacterial SSU rRNA". It matches the Rfam family "Bacterial small subunit ribosomal RNA", at positions 56 to 763 of the family's 1533-position model. Lineage: Bacteria; Pseudomonadati; Campylobacterota; Epsilonproteobacteria; Campylobacterales; Arcobacteraceae. The record is from RNAcentral.